Molecule: ribosomal RNA, 326 nt
Filed under: uncultured eukaryote
Lineage: Eukaryota
Description: partial 18S ribosomal RNA
Rfam family: Eukaryotic small subunit ribosomal RNA
Source: RNAcentral
CCCUUAGAUGUUCGGGGCUGCACACGCGCUACACUGGAGGAAACAGCGUGUAUUGACCUGGUCCGAAAGGACUGGGUAAACCUGUGAAACUUCUCCGUGCUUGGGAUAGCGGAUUGCAAUUGUUUCGCUUCAACGAGGAAUUCCUAGUAAGCGUAAGUCAUAAGCUUGCGCUGAUUACGUCCCUGCCCUUUGUACGCACCGCCCGUCGCACCUACCGAUUGAAUGGUCCGGUGAAACCUCGGGAUUGCGGCUAGUUCCCUUUAUUGGGGAUUGGUUGUGAGAACCUGUUUAAACCUUAUCAUUUAGAGGAAGGUGAAGUCGUAACA